CGGACGGGUGAGUAACGCGUGGGUAACCUGCCCUGUACAGGGGGAUAACAGCUGGAAACGGCUGCUAAUACCGCAUAAGCGCACAGUACCGCAUGGUACAGUGUGAAAAACUCCGGUGGUGUGAGAUGGACCCGCGUCUGAUUAGCUAGUUGGCAGGGCAACGGCCUACCAAGGCGACGAUCCAUAGCCGGCCUGAGAGGGUGAACGGCCACAUUGGGACUGAGACACGGCCCAAACUCCUACGGGAGGCAGCAUG
RNAcentral lists this ribosomal RNA (256 nucleotides) under uncultured bacterium. RNAcentral describes it as "partial 16S ribosomal RNA". It matches the Rfam family "Bacterial small subunit ribosomal RNA", at positions 99 to 353 of the family's 1533-position model. The record is from RNAcentral.